RNAcentral lists this unclassified non-coding RNA (202 nucleotides) under soil metagenome. RNAcentral describes it as "partial contains 5.8S ribosomal RNA, internal transcribed spacer 2, and large subunit ribosomal RNA". The record is from RNAcentral.
AACCUUAUGGACCUGCGGGCGUAUACCUGCGGAAGGAUCAUUACCUAGAGUUGUAGGCUUUGCCUGCUAUCUCUUACCCAUGUCUUUUGAGUACUUACGUUUCCUCGGCGGGUCCGCCCGCCGAUUGGACAAUUUAAACCAUUUGCAGUUGCAAUCUGCGUCUGAAAAAACUUUAAUAGUUACAACUUUUAACAAUGGAUCU